RNAcentral lists this ribosomal RNA (753 nucleotides) under Bacillus cereus. RNAcentral describes it as "bacterial SSU rRNA". It matches the Rfam family "Bacterial small subunit ribosomal RNA", at positions 51 to 784 of the family's 1533-position model. Lineage: Bacteria; Bacillati; Bacillota; Bacilli; Caryophanales; Bacillaceae. The record is from RNAcentral.
AUACAUGCAAGUCGAGCGAAUGGAUUAAGAGCUUGCUCUUAUGAAGUUAGCGGCGGACGGGUGAGUAACACGUGGGUAACCUGCCCAUAAGACUGGGAUAACUCCGGGAAACCGGGGCUAAUACCGGAUAACAUUUUGAACCGCAUGGUUCGAAAUUGAAAGGCGGCUUCGGCUGUCACUUAUGGAUGGACCCGCGUCGCAUUAGCUAGUUGGUGAGGUAACGGCUCACCAAGGCAACGAUGCGUAGCCGACCUGAGAGGGUGAUCGGCCACACUGGGACUGAGACACGGCCCAGACUCCUACGGGAGGCAGCAGUAGGGAAUCUUCCGCAAUGGACGAAAGUCUGACGGAGCAACGCCGCGUGAGUGAUGAAGGCUUUCGGGUCGUAAAACUCUGUUGUUAGGGAAGAACAAGUGCUAGUUGAAUAAGCUGGCACCUUGACGGUACCUAACCAGAAAGCCACGGCUAACUACGUGCCAGCAGCCGCGGUAAUACGUAGGUGGCAAGCGUUAUCCGGAAUUAUUGGGCGUAAAGCGCGCGCAGGUGGUUUCUUAAGUCUGAUGUGAAAGCCCACGGCUCAACCGUGGAGGGUCAUUGGAAACUGGGAGACUUGAGUGCAGAAGAGGAAAGUGGAAUUCCAUGUGUAGCGGUGAAAUGCGUAAAGAUAUGGAGGAACACCAGUGGCGAAGGCGACUUUCUGGUCUGUAACUGACACUGAGGCGCGAAAGCGUGGGGAGCAAACAGGAUUAGAUA